Molecule: long non-coding RNA, 456 nt
Filed under: Vigna radiata
Lineage: Eukaryota; Viridiplantae; Streptophyta; Magnoliopsida; Fabales; Fabaceae
Description: long non-coding RNA (VRAD_LNC016919)
Source: RNAcentral
CGAAUUGCGAGAGAAGAUGAACUGAAAAUUGAAUCCAAUUUAAGGAUGGCGACAAUGAAAAACAAUGAAGAAUAUAAUGAACAGAGAAGAGAAGCGAGGUCCAUUAAUGAAUAGACAAAUGACCGAGAUUGUGAACGGUGAACACAGUGACCGGAGAAUAAAAGACAAACCUGGAUGGCAAUAUUGACACACUUACCUUAGAGAUUUCAAUGGAGGAAGAAGACUCAGUAACGGAGGAAGAAUAAAACCUGAACUUAGGGAUUUCAAUGGCAAACUAAACAACGAUUUCAAUGCCAAACCGAACGAUGAGUUCAAUGGCACGACGGUAGGGCCAAGAACUGUGAUGCACAUGAAGGAUUUCAAUGGAGCAAGAAUUUGAUGCACGAGGAAGAACAAUUUUGGGGAAGAAGGGUUUUUGUGUGGUAUAUAACAUAUACCAAACGGUUAACAUUCAAG